Molecule: long non-coding RNA, 419 nt
Organism: Orbicella faveolata
Lineage: Eukaryota; Metazoa; Cnidaria; Anthozoa; Scleractinia; Merulinidae
Source: RefSeq, a predicted model, not a curated record
CUAACCUUUCACCUGAAAUACACAUAAUUUAUUUCAUCAUUAUAAAUCUUUCUUUAAAUAUCUUAUAGGAAUCCAAAAGGAGGAAUUUGCCCGAAAUCCCCUGCAUGUGGAGCUGUGUCCCCCGCGUACCUUCUCAAGCCACACCCUGAUGAUCUGGCGCUUGGAGAAAGCAGGAAAGCAACCAUUUGCUACACAAUUGGAAACACGUGCUGUGGAAAGACUCAGCAAAUAAUGAUAAAGAAAUGCAACGGUUUUUUCAUCUACAAGCUGCCUCGUGCUUGCAUCAAAAGGGCACGGUAUUGCGGCAAUGGAGGGCAAGAGAAACCUGACUGUGAUGAAAAAGAGCUGCUUUUUGGUCUGACGAAAAAGUACGCAGCAGAGUCGUGCAAAGAGAUAAAAGAGAAGAGAAAAGAUGCCGA